CGUUUCCCGGCGUGGUUGCGCAGGCCCUUGGUGCGGGCCUUGGUAGCCGUGCGGUGCAGGUGGGUGAUGGC
This 71-nucleotide transfer RNA is filed under the name Winogradskya consettensis. RNAcentral's name for it is "Actinoplanes consettensis tRNA-Thr". The record is from RNAcentral. Lineage: Bacteria; Bacillati; Actinomycetota; Actinomycetes; Micromonosporales; Micromonosporaceae.